UACGUAGGGUGCGAGCGUUGUCCGGAAUUACUGGGCGUAAAGAGCUCGUAGGUGGUUUGUCGCGUUGUUCGUGAAAACUCACAGCUCAACUGUGGGCGUGCGGGCGAUACGGGCAGACUGGAGUACUGCAGGGGAGACUGGAAUUCCUGGUGUAGCGGUGGAAUGCGCAGAUAUCCGGAGGAACACCAGUGGCGAAGGCGGCUUUCUGGACCGACACUGACGCUGAGGCGCGAAAGCUAGGGGAGCAAACGGG
RNAcentral lists this ribosomal RNA (253 nucleotides) under uncultured bacterium. Its description in RNAcentral is "partial 16S ribosomal RNA". It matches the Rfam family "Bacterial small subunit ribosomal RNA", at positions 524 to 776 of the family's 1533-position model. The record is from RNAcentral.